CCUACGGGGGGCAGCAGUGGGGAAUAUUGCACAAUGGGCGAAAGCCUGAUGCAGCAACGCCGCGUGAGGGACGACGGCCUUCGGGUUGAAACCUCUUUUAGUAGGGAAGCGGUACCUGCAGAAAAAGCACCGGCUAACUACGUGCCAGCAGCCGCGGUAAUACGUAGGGUGCAAGCGUUGUCCGGAAUUAUUGGGCGUAAAGAGCUCGUAGGCGGUUUGUCGCGUCUGCUGUGAAAUCCCGAGGCUCAACCUCGGGUCUGCAGUGGGUACGGGCAGAAUAGAGUGCGGUAGGGGAGAUUGGAAUUCCUGGUGUAGCGGUGGAAUGCGCAGAUAUCAGGAGGAACACAGAUGGCGAAGGCAGAUCUCUGGGCCGUACUGACGCUGAGGAGCGAAAGCAUGGGGAGCGAACAGGAUUAGAUACCCUAGUAGUC
RNAcentral lists this ribosomal RNA (431 nucleotides) under uncultured bacterium. RNAcentral's name for it is "partial 16S ribosomal RNA". It matches the Rfam family "Bacterial small subunit ribosomal RNA", at positions 338 to 795 of the family's 1533-position model. The record is from RNAcentral.